This 4799-nucleotide long non-coding RNA is filed under the name Mytilus galloprovincialis (Mediterranean mussel). Lineage: Eukaryota; Metazoa; Mollusca; Bivalvia; Mytilida; Mytilidae. The record is from RNAcentral.
GUCUAAGUUCUUAGUUAUGUGGAGGUCAUCAUAAUGUAACGUAAAUACGGAAGUUGUACUAUUCAUUAUCCGAUGUUGGUUAUAAUUUAAUCAUUGACCCUUAACCUUGAUCGGCAUAAUCUCGUGAAAAUUGAGAUGAUCGAAUGAUUGAAGGAUAACACGUGGAAUGAUUUCAUGAACAAAGGUUCUAAAUUGAGUAUUUCUAAAGGUGAGUUUUGUUAUAUUCCCAUUGACUUAUGAUAAAUUGAUCAAGAAGGAUUUUUUUUUUCCCUAAAAUAUUAGAUAUUUUCCAGUAAUUAGACAGUAGACAGUACGGGGUCAAAAAUCAUGUCCUACAGGUAAACAUUGACCAUGCGUCACAUUUAAACAUCUUAAAAUAAUACAUUUGUUUACAUUGAGUUUUUCUUGCAUGAUAUAAUUCGUAUAUAUAGUAAUACAGAAGAUGAUCAUAGCCAUAUAAUUCAUAUAUAAUUGAUUAUUAUAUUUAAUAUGUAUAUUAUAACUCAUUCAAAAUCUCUUGUUGUUUUAUCAAGAAGUUUAUAUUUUCAUAAUGUUGUUUAACUUCUAAUUUAAUUAUUUCUAUAGACUACAACAUUUUUUUGUUUAUCUUUCUGAUGCAUAUGUAGCUUUAUGAACAUUAGAACAUAUAUACAUACAGACUGAGAAAAUAUGAUUGAUGUCAUAUAGCGUUUUUAUUCAUGAUUUUUGUAGCCUUAGUAUUAGAUUUUUGAAGGUGAUUAUUGUGUUCCAUUUUUAUUUUAUAAGGAGUAUUUUGUUUUUUCCAAUUUUUUUUAAGUAUUUGCAUGAAUGAAAAAGUGUUCAAGUUUUUUCUUGAUUGGUUGAGAUAUGGACUGGUCAUACUUUUCACGUUGCCAGAUUGUUACAAUAGUUUUUUACAAGGAAGUAUAUAAUUGAAGAUAUUCACUGAAUAUUUUUAGUUUGUUUUACUUGUAAACUAUUAAAUAUAAGUUAGCAUUUUAUAUAAAUGCAUGAUGAAUUAAUUUUAAUUGUGUUUUUCACUUUAGAAAGCAAAUUUGGUGUUUUUUCCUAUAUAAACAUGAGUUAUUUUUUUAAAUUUCAUUUUGAUGGAGGUUUUCAUGCUGAUCAUUUGUAUUUAUUUUGGUUGAUUUUUAAUUACUUUUUAUCUGUUUUACUUUAGUAUAGAAUAGAUUUGAUGAUUUCAUUUAUCAAUUUGCAUUUUUAUGGUAUUGCAGUUUUAUUUAGAUAGUUUUCUGAUAUCGGUUAGAUUUGAGGGUCAAUUUAUCUAAUACUGCUUUUGUUGGAUAUAUUUCCUGUUCAUUAUUAUUAUUAUAAAUUAGUAUUAUUUUUGUUUUUUUUUUUAUCCAUGUGAAAAAUAUUAAACUUCUUUUGAAUUUUAUUCUUUAUUGCAGCCAAAUGUAUUGUUGUCUUAUAUUAUGAAUUUGUACUGUUGGUUUUUAUUUAGAGAUUAAGUUUUUUUUUAUCUUAAACCAACUUCUGAAUAUUUCUAAUGAAAAGAGGGAGUGUUUUACUUGAGUUUUUGGGAUUUGUUUUAUGCUACUGGAUUCAUGUUAAUAAAGAAAGUUUUUCUUCCAAAUUUAUUUAAAAAAGAAGAGGGGAAUGAUCUUUCCAAGUUUGCAAUGUGUGUUGAUUUAAAGUUUGACGAGCGCAGGAUAAUUGUUUGGCUGAUAAAAAUAUAAUAUUGAAUCAUUUGAGGGCUUUCCAGUAUUUUUACGUAGGUGAUUCGUUUUAACUUUUUCCUUUUUUAUUACCAAAUGAAGUUGUAAAUAAAGUUUUUUAUUUCAUUUUAAAAUUCUUUGGAAAUGGUUGUACUGAUGCUAAGAAAGUUUAAAUUUGGUAAGAUGAAGAGAUUUAAUUCUGUUUAUUUCUAGCCCAUAUAUUGUGAGAUUCUUUGUUUCCAGCUAUUGAUUGUAUUUGAGACUUUUCUAGUAUUUUUUCAGUAUUUUAUUUGUCACUUAUUUUUUGUUAAGUCCAAGUAUACACUAGGUUUUUUAAUAGAUUAUUUAUUCAGUUAAUAUUUUCAUAUUUAUCUUUACAACUUUUAAGUCUGCCUAGCCAUAUUCCUUCUGUUUUUGAUCGGUUGAGUUUAAGACCUGAGAGUGUUCCAAAUAUUUCAAUAAUAUUUAAAGCAUAGCUAAUUUCCUGCUUGCAUUUUAAAAAAAGAGUUGUGUCAUCGGCUAAUUGUGAGAUUUUCAGGCUAUGUGUUUUAGAAUCUAAUUUUAUUUGAAAUCCCUUAAUACCAGUGUCUUGUCUUAUUUUGCAUGCAAGAAUUUCUACUGCUAUUGUAAAAAUUAGAGAACUGCACGGACAACCUUGACGUAUCCCACGAGAUACAUUUAUAAGUUUCUGAAAUCCACCCAUUAUUUAGCAUGCAGCCUUUAAUAUUCUUAUAUAAUGUUUUAACCCAUUUAAUAAAUGAGUUUGGUAGACCAAAUUUUAUAAGGGCUUCGUACAUAAAAUUCCAUUCUAAUGAAUCAAAAGCUUUUGAAAAGUCAAUAAAGAGUAAAGCACCAUCUAUGUUAAAAGUUUCAGCAUAGUCUAUAAUGUCUUGGAUUUGGCGUAUAUUAAAACCAAUAUAUAUAUUUUUGAUAUACCAUUUUGAUCUCCAUGAAUUAUUUUCAGCAGUAUUGGUUUUAAGCGCUGGGCUAUUGCAUAUGCAAUGAGUUUAGUAUCUACAUUUAAUAGCGUAAUUGGUCUAUAGUUAUCCAGUGACAAAGGGUCUUUUUUUUGUAAAUUAAAGAGAUUAUACCAAUCUUUUGUAUGGUUGUUAGUUCUCCGUCUUCAUAGCAUUUAUUAAAAACUUCAAAUGUAAAUUCUUUUAAAUUGCUCCAAAAAGUGCGAUAAAAUUCUACGCUUAGCCCAUCUAUUCCUGGAGAUUUAUUUAAUUUCAUGUUGAAUAUUGCUUUAGUCCAUUCUUCUAUGGUUAAGGGGCCCCCCAAGGAAUCACUUUCUUUUUCUGAUAGUUUGUGAUCAAUGUUGGUUUCAUUUAUAUAAUUUUUGAUAUCAUUUAAAUUUGGAGAAGUGCUUUUAUAUAAAUUUUCAUAGUAUGAUCUUUCUAUGUUUAGGAUUUCUGCGGAGUCUGUUACUAUUUUCCCUUGUUUAUUUUUUAGCGCUGUAAUGCUUUUUUUUGUUUGUCUUGAUUUUUCGAGGCCUAGGAAAUAUUUAGUAUUUUUCUCUCCUUCUUCUAAGCCAUUGUACUCUAGAUCUUAUUUUGAGCACCUUUAACUUUAUUUAAAUAGAGGUGUUCAAGUUCAUUUUCAAUGGUUUUAAUUUCUUUUUUUAUAAUUUGGCUUGCAUUUGUCUUCUCAUUUAGCUUUCUUAAUUUUAUUUCUAGAUUUUUUAUGUCAUUUUUAUUUUCAGAUGAUCUUUGUUUGCAGUAAGAAAGAGUUGCAGUUCUUACCUCUGAUUUAAACAUAUCCCAGAGUGUUUUUAAAUUUUUGGUGAGUAUUUGUUUUUUAUGGUUUUUAAUUAAGUUGUUUAUGAGGUCAAUAUAUUUUUGCUCUUUAAGUAUACUAUUGUUUAUUUGAAAGUAACCCCUGCCUCUUUCUUCUGAAUUUUGUCUAACUUGUAAUGAAAUGGCCUGGUGAUCAGUGUACGAGAUCAUUGCGGGUCGAAUAUCUACUUUCAUAACAUGCGGUCUUAUAUCAGGACUAAUCAAGAAGAAGUCAAUUCUGCUUGCUAUGUUUGUAUCAUUUUUCCUUCUCCAUGUGAAUUGACUAGUAUUUGGAUUAAGUUCUCUCCAUAUAUCUGUUAAAUUAUUUUUCUUUAUUAGUUUUUUUAAACUAUUUACAGGUUUGUAGUUUCUUGGGAGGAUAUUAGUUCUUCUAUCAUUAAUUGAGAGAGUUUCGUUCAUGUCACCUCCUAAUAUAAGGAUACCCAAACGAUUGUUUUCAAUUAUAUUUUGAACCUUUUUGAAAAAUUUGUUUCUGUUUUUGUGUUGAUUUGGAGCAUAUACAUUUAUUAGAGUAAAAAUAUUGUCAUUUAUUUCUAUGUUUAUCAAAAUUAUUCUACCUUCAUUAUCCUUUAUCUCGUUUAUUGUUUUACAUUUUAAAUUAUUUUUGACAAAGAUUGAAACACCUCUUGAUUGUGUGUUACCAUAACUAUGAAACAUUUUGCCAUCAAACUCAUUAUUUAUUGUUUGUUCAAUAUUUUCUAUAAAAUGUGACUCUUGAAUGAAAAGAAUGUUACAUUUUUGAUUUUUUGUCCAUAAUUGUAAUCUUUCUCUUUUGCUUUUUUGGCCUAAACCUUGACAGUUUAGUGAUAUCAUAUGAAGAUUUUCACCCAUUGUUUAGUUUAGAGUUUAAAUGUGUAGUUGAUAUCAAAACUACAUUUAGAAGGAGACAUAUUUGUUUUUACCUCAUAUUCAGAAAGUACUGUCAUUAAAUGUUUGGUUUUAAAGUUACACAAUGUACUAUAAAAACAUUGGUACAUGUACAUGAUUAUUUGUGAAUUUUAAAAAUAUAUACAGUACCAGUAAACAAAAUAUAUACACAUACUUAACCAUGUUCAUGAAAGUAAAUGAGACAUAGAAACACAAACAUAUAUUAGCAUACAUACAUGUACAUGUAUUUAAACACAUAUUUUCAUUUAUUUGUUCCCAUACAUUAGAUUGUACUAUUGCUUUUUUGCCAUAAUUUGAUACUAUAAAUAUAUAAUAAAAAGACAGAUAUUUUUGUUAUAUCAUGUAUAAUAAUUUCAUUUUUAUUUAUUUUUAGGUUUGUUAUUUUAACAGUAUAAUGAGAUUGUAGGACCAUGUUCAUGAUGUAGGAGUUUACCAUGUUUACAAUACUUACGGAAAC